CUACGGGCUGCUGCAGUGAGGAAUAUUGCACAAUGGGGGGAACCCUGAUGCAGCAACGCCGCGUGGAGGAUGACGCAUUUCGGUGUGUAAACUCCUUUUAUAUGUCAAGAAAAUGACGGUAGCAUAUGAAUAAGCACCGGCUAACUCCGUGCCAGCAGCCGCGGUAAUACGGAGGGUGCAAGCGUUACUCGGAAUCACUGGGCGGAAAGGACGCGUAGGCGGGUUGGAAAGUCAGGUGUGAAAUCCUACAGCUUAACUGUAGAACUGCACUUGAAACUUCUAAUCUAGAGUAUGGGAGGGGGAGAUGGAAUUAGUGGUGUAGGGGUAAAAUCCGUAGAUAUCACUAGGAAUACCUAAAGCGAAGGCGAUCUCCUGGAACAUUACUGACGCUAGGGCGUGAAAGCGUGGGGGGCAAACAGGAUUAGAUACCCCCGUAGUC
RNAcentral lists this ribosomal RNA (439 nucleotides) under uncultured bacterium. RNAcentral describes it as "partial 16S ribosomal RNA". It matches the Rfam family "Bacterial small subunit ribosomal RNA", at positions 339 to 795 of the family's 1533-position model. The record is from RNAcentral.